This 648-nucleotide ribosomal RNA is filed under the name uncultured bacterium. RNAcentral describes it as "bacterial SSU rRNA". It matches the Rfam family "Bacterial small subunit ribosomal RNA", at positions 8 to 660 of the family's 1533-position model. The record is from RNAcentral.
AGAGUUUGAUCAUGGCUCAGGACGAACGCUGGCGGCGUGCUUAACACAUGCAAGUCGAACGCUGAAGCUCUGCCCUUGUGGUGGGGUGGAUGAGUGGCGAACGGGUGAGUAACACGUGGGUAAUCUGCCCCAUACUCUGGGAUAACCCCUGGAAACGGGGGCUAAUACCGGAUAGGACAUUCUGCCGCAUGGUGGGGUGUGGAAAGUUCCGGCGGUAUGGGAUGGGCCCGCGGCCUAUCAGCUUGUUGGUGGGGUAAUGGCCUACCAAGGCGACGACGGGUAGCCGGCCUGAGAGGGUGACCGGCCACACUGGGACUGAGACACGGCCCAGACUCCUACGGGAGGCAGCAGUGGGGAAUCUUGCGCAAUGGGCGAAAGCCUGACGCAGCAACGCCGCGAGGGGGAUGAAGGCCUUCAGGUUGUAAACCUCUUUCACCAUCGACGAAGCCCUUUGGGGUGACGGUAGGUGGGGAAGAAGCACCGGCUAACUACGUGCCAGCAGCCGCGGUAAUACGUAGGGUGCGAGCGUUGUCCGGAUUUAUUGGGCGUAAAGAGCUCGUAGGCGGUUUGUCGCGUCGGCCGUGAAAACCUACAGCUUAACUGUGGGCUUGCGGUCGAUACGGGCAGACUUGAGUUCGGCAGGGGAGA